RNAcentral lists this transfer RNA (88 nucleotides) under Monotropsis odorata (sweet pinesap). Its description in RNAcentral is "tRNA-Ser". It matches the Rfam family "tRNA". Rfam says of the family: Transfer RNA (tRNA) molecules are approximately 80 nucleotides in length. The record is from RNAcentral. Lineage: Eukaryota; Viridiplantae; Streptophyta; Magnoliopsida; Ericales; Ericaceae.
GGAGAGAUGGCUGAGCGGAUUAAAGCGACGGAUUGCUAAUUCGUUGUAUGAAUUAUUUGUACCGAGGGUUCGAAUCCCUUUCUUUCCA